CCUGGCUCCCGUUGAGGCUGGCGGCGCGCCUAACACAUGCAAGUCGAACGAUCGAGAGAGAGCUUGCUUUCUCGAGCGAGUGGCGAACGGGUGAGUAACGCGUGAGGAACCUGCCUCAAAGAGGGGGACAACAGUUGGAAACGACUGCUAAUACCGCAUAAGCCCACGGGUCGGCAUCGACCAGAGGGAAAAGGAGCAAUCCGCUUUGAGAUGGCCUCGCGUCCGAUUAGCUAGUUGGUGAGGUAACGGCCCACCAAGGCGACGAUCGGUAGCCGGACUGAGAGGUUGAACGGCCACAUUGGGACUGAGACACGGCCCAGACUCCUACGGGAGGCAGCAGUGGGGAAUAUUGCACAAUGGGGGAAACCCUGAUGUAGCGACGCCGCGUGGAGGAAGAAGGUCUUCGGAUUGUAAACUCCUGUUGUUGAGGAAGAUAAUGACGGUACUCAACAAGGAAGUGACGGCUAACUACGUGCCAGCAGCCGCGGUAAAACGUAGGUCACAAGCGUUGUCCGGAAUUACUGGGUGUAAAGGGAGCGCAGGCGGGAAGACAAGUUGGAAGUGAAAUCCAUGGGCUCAACCCAUGAACUGCUUUCAAAACUGUUUUUCUUGAGUAGUGCAGAGGUAGGCGGAAUUCCCGGUGUAGCGGUGGAAUGCGUAGAUAUCGGGAGGAACACCAGUGGCGAAGGCGGCCUACUGGGCACCAACUGACGCUGAGGCUCGAAAGUGUGGGUAGCAAACAGGAUUAGAUACCCUGGUAGUCCACACUGUAAACGAUGAUUACUAGGUGUUGGAGGAUUGACCCCUUCAGUGCCGCAGUUAACACAAUAAGUAAUCCACCUGGGGAGUACGACCGCAAGGUUGAAACUCAAAGGAAUUGACGGGGGCCCGCACAAGCAGUGGAGUAUGUGGUUUAAUUCGACGCAACGCGAAGAACCUUACCAAGUCUUGACAUCCCUUGACGAUGCUGGAAACAGUAUUUCUCUUCGGAGCAAGGAGACAGGUGGUGCAUGGUUGUCGUCAGCUCGUGUCGUGAGAUGUUGGGUUAAGUCCCGCAACGAGCGCAACCCUUAUGGUCAGUUACUACGCAAGAGGACUCUGGCCAGACUGCCGUUGACAAAACGGAGGAAGGUGGGGAUGACGUCAAAUCAUCAUGCCCUUUAUGACUUGGGCUACACACGUACUACAAUGGCGUUAAACAAAGAGAAGCAAGACCGCGAGGUGGAGCAAAACUCAGAAACAACGUCCCAGUUCGGACUGCAGGCUGCAACUCGCCUGCACGAAGUCGGAAUUGCUAGUAAUCGUGGAUCAGCAUGCCACGGUGAAUACGUUCCCGGGCCUUGUACACACCGCCCG
Molecule: ribosomal RNA, 1356 nt
Filed under: uncultured bacterium
Lineage: Bacteria
Description: bacterial SSU rRNA
Rfam family: Bacterial small subunit ribosomal RNA
Source: RNAcentral